RNAcentral lists this transfer RNA (90 nucleotides) under Bacteroidota bacterium. RNAcentral's name for it is "Bacteroidetes bacterium tRNA-Ser". It matches the Rfam family "tRNA". From Rfam's summary of the family: Transfer RNA (tRNA) molecules are approximately 80 nucleotides in length. Their secondary structure includes four short double-helical elements and three loops (D, anti-codon, and T loops). Lineage: Bacteria; Pseudomonadati; Bacteroidota. The record is from RNAcentral.
GGAGAAGUGCCAGAGUGGUUGAAUGGGCCGCACUCGAAAUGCGGUGUACCCUUGCGGGUACCGGGGGUUCGAAUCCCUCCUUCUCCGCCC